AUAAUUUGCCGUAAUGGAAAGGCAAGGAAAACUUGAUAGAAUGCAUGCAUAUGGUUUGAAGCAGAGGCAGUUGCUCCAUCUUGUUCGAAAAAAGAUGGAUGGUUAUUUUGGCCAACUUGUGUUCAUGCAAUGAAAGCUACCUAUAAUAAUUUUUCAACCAUUGACUCCUGCAACAAGCUUAGACUUAAAAGAGUUAAUGUAACUGGAGAUAAAGAAGUAUGUGCAGGAUUUAAUUUCACGACUAAAGAGGACUUCGAAGAAGAAUUUCUGGGGGAACAAAGAUCGAGGAAUAAUUUGGUUUUAACUGGUUUGCAUCUUAUGAACAAAGUACAUAAUAUGAUUUAAAUUGAUGAUUUAUAGUUACACCUAUUGAAGUUUGAAGCAGAGGCAGUUGCUCCAUCUUGUUCGAAAAAAGAUGGAUGGUUAUUUUGGCCAACUUGUGUUCAUGCAAUGAAAGCUACCUAUAAUAAUUUUUCAACCAUUGACUCCUGCAACAAGCUUAGACUUAAAAGAGUUAAUGUAACUGGAGAUAAAGAAGUAUGUGCAGGAUUUAAUUUCACGACUAAAGAGGACUCCGAAGAAGAAUUUCUGGGGGAACAAAGAUCGAGGAAUAAUUUGGUUUUAACUGGUUUGCAUCUUAUGAACAAAGUACAUAAUAUGAUUUAAAUUGAUGAUUUAUAGUUACACCUAUUGAAAUUCUGUAUCUCAAUGAUAUCCUGGCUUAUCGAUACGAUAUUCUGUAAAUCCACUCACAUACAAAUUUUACUUACACACGUAAUUCCUGUAAAUUCACUCACACACAUAAAUCUCAAAAAAGAUGUUUUUAUUUUUAUCUAUAAAUUGUAAAUUUUAUAUAAAUAAAUUGUAUAUUUUUUAUGUUUUUCAUUGUAUAUUACUAUUUGUAUAAAAAUCGA
Hydra vulgaris (swiftwater hydra) is the source of this 914-nucleotide long non-coding RNA. RefSeq lists it as uncharacterized. NCBI's taxonomy places the organism in Eukaryota, Metazoa, Cnidaria, Hydrozoa, Anthoathecata, Hydridae. The record is from RefSeq and is a predicted model, not a curated record.